UACGUAGGUGGCGAGCGUUGUCCGGAUUUACUGGGCGUAAGGCGCGCGUAGGUGGCCUGCCAAGUCUGGGGUGAAAUCUCUCGGCUUAACCGGGAGGGGUCUUCAGAUACUGGUGGGCUUGAGGGCAGCAGAGGUCGGUGGAAUUCCCGGUGGAGUGGUGAAAUGCGUAGAUAUCGGGAGGAACACCAGUGGCGAAGGCGGCCGACUGGGCUGUCCCUGACACUGAGGUGCGAAAGCGUGGGGAGCGAACCGG
RNAcentral lists this ribosomal RNA (253 nucleotides) under uncultured bacterium. RNAcentral's name for it is "partial 16S ribosomal RNA". It matches the Rfam family "Bacterial small subunit ribosomal RNA", at positions 524 to 776 of the family's 1533-position model. The record is from RNAcentral.